CCCGAAUAGCUCAGCCGGUUAGAGCACUUGACUGUUAAUCAGGGGGUCGUUGGUUCGAGUCCAACUUCGGGCG
This 73-nucleotide transfer RNA is filed under the name Lysobacter enzymogenes. RNAcentral's name for it is "tRNA-Asn". It matches the Rfam family "tRNA". Rfam says of the family: Transfer RNA (tRNA) molecules are approximately 80 nucleotides in length. Their secondary structure includes four short double-helical elements and three loops (D, anti-codon, and T loops). Lineage: Bacteria; Pseudomonadati; Pseudomonadota; Gammaproteobacteria; Lysobacterales; Lysobacteraceae. The record is from RNAcentral.